UCCUGGCUGGCUCAGAUGGUAGAGCAUGAGAUUCUUGAUCUUGGGGUUGUGAGUUGGAAACCCAUGUUGGGUG
Molecule: transfer RNA, 73 nt
Filed under: Ailuropoda melanoleuca (giant panda)
Lineage: Eukaryota; Metazoa; Chordata; Mammalia; Carnivora; Ursidae
Rfam family: tRNA
About the family: Transfer RNA (tRNA) molecules are approximately 80 nucleotides in length. Their secondary structure includes four short double-helical elements and three loops (D, anti-codon, and T loops). Further hydrogen bonds mediate the characteristic L-shaped molecular structure. tRNAs have two regions of fundamental functional importance: the anti-codon, which is responsible for specific mRNA codon recognition, and the 3' end, to which the tRNAs corresponding amino acid is attached (by aminoacyl-tRNA synthetases). tRNAs cope with the degeneracy of the genetic code in two manners: having more than one tRNA (with a specific anti-codon) for a particular amino acid; and 'wobble' base-pairing, i.e. permitting non-standard base-pairing at the 3rd anti-codon position.
Source: Rfam by way of RNAcentral